Long non-coding RNA from Vicia villosa (hairy vetch), 524 nucleotides. RefSeq lists it as uncharacterized. NCBI's taxonomy places the organism in Eukaryota, Viridiplantae, Streptophyta, Magnoliopsida, Fabales, Fabaceae. The transcript is spliced from 2 exons. The record is from RefSeq and is a predicted model, not a curated record.
CGUGAAAGGGUUCUUUCCAACCCACUUUCUUCUUUUCAAUUUCCUCAUAUCCUUCUUUCUCUCUCAUUACGUUCUCUUCCUACUUCUUCUCCAAAAACCAUUUACUUCACCAUUAACAUCAAAACAAAACUCAAACCCAGAAAACUUCACAUACUCAAAUAAACAUAACGAUGCCUAAACCAAACCAUUUCACCUCGAAAUCCCCAAUUUUAAACCCCAACAACAACAUGCAUCAAGAAAUUAAAGCUAAGAGUAAGCGGCGGAAUGAAUUAGGGUUUCAGAUUUGAAACUCCUAAUUCUUGGAGAUGAAUCGGCGAAGCGGCUUUGGGUGACUUCGCAACAAAAUCCUUCUUUUUCUACUCCUUCUCUUUCUCUUUUUUUUCGGUCCCUUUUUGUUAGCUUUAGGGUUUGAUUUUAUAGUCUUUUAGAUUAGAAUAAAUUAGGAAAUUAGUUUAAUGUUUGAUUCAAAUAAUAAUUAGGAUUGAAUGAGAUUUGGUAAUCAAAGUUUGAUUCGAUUUGUUGUA